Molecule: ribosomal RNA, 253 nt
Filed under: uncultured bacterium
Lineage: Bacteria
Description: partial 16S ribosomal RNA
Rfam family: Bacterial small subunit ribosomal RNA
Source: RNAcentral
UACGUAGGGGGCUAGCGUUGUCCGGAAUUAUUGGGCGUAAAGAGCGCGUAGGCGGUUUCCUAAGUCAGAUGUGAAAACCCCGGGCUUAACCUGGGACCUGCAUUUGAAACUGGGAGACUAGAGUACAGGAGAGGUAAGUGGAAUUCCUAGUGUAGCGGUGAAAUGCGUAGAUAUUAGGAGGAACACCAGUGGCGAAGGCGACUUACUGGACUGUAACUGACGCUGAGGCGCGAAAGCGUGGGGAGCAAACAGG